Molecule: ribosomal RNA, 405 nt
Filed under: uncultured bacterium
Lineage: Bacteria
Description: partial 16S ribosomal RNA
Rfam family: Bacterial small subunit ribosomal RNA
Source: RNAcentral
UGGGGAAUAUUGGGCAAUGGGGGAAACCCUGACCCAGCAACGCCGCGUGAGGGAAGAAGGUUCUCGGAUCGUAAACCUCUGUCAUCAGGGAAGAAGAAAGUGACGGUACCUGAUGAGGAAGCCCCGGCUAACUACGUGCCAGCAGCCGCGGUAAUACGUAGGGGGCGAGCGUUGUCCGGAAUGACUGGGCGUAAAGGGCGCGUAGGCGGCUCUGUAAGUCUGAAGUGAAAGUCCUGCUUUCAAGGUGGGAAUUGCUUUGGAAACUGAAGAGCUUGAGUGUGGAAGAGGAAAGUGGAAUUCCCAGUGUAGCGGUGAAAUGCGUAGAGAUUGGGAGGAACACCAGUGGCGAAGGCGACUUUCUGGGCCAUAACUGACGCUGAGGCGCGAGAGCGUGGGGAGCAAACA